CCUGGUGGCUCAGAGGUUAAAGCGUCUGCCUGCAAUGCAGGAGACCUGGGUCUGAUCCCCUGGGUCAGGA
This 70-nucleotide transfer RNA is filed under the name Ovis aries (sheep). It matches the Rfam family "tRNA". From Rfam's summary of the family: Transfer RNA (tRNA) molecules are approximately 80 nucleotides in length. The record is from Rfam by way of RNAcentral. Lineage: Eukaryota; Metazoa; Chordata; Mammalia; Artiodactyla; Bovidae.